UGUACUGGUUCUCAUUCCACUGCUGCCAUUUCAAUGGCAUUUGAGAACAUGUUUGAAACAUGGAAACAUGAACAACUGACUCGAGAAAUAAGCUCAUCAACUGUGUCUGCAGCAGACGUGAUACCCACUGUCAUGGUACUGAAAUGCCUGCUCAACCAAUCUGCUGACACAGACCGUGGGGUUAACUUAGAAAAGUACUGAACUAAAGGCUGUGAACAAGCACUUCGGUGGCAUUCUCUCUGAGCCUCUUUACUGUGUUGCCACCAUGCUCGAUGUUAGGUACAAGGACCACUACUUCGAUGCAGACAAGAAACAGGGUUUACGUGAAAUGUUACAGACACAGCUGGACAAGAUGGAAGUGGACACAAUGACAGUGCGCACCGAGGAAAAGAGGCCACGGACAGACAGAGCUGAAACUUCACUGCUUGACAUGUAUGAUGAAAUCCUGGUUGAGAAUGAAACGACUGAACAAAUGAACAACAAACAGCACAGCAAAGAGGAAAGCCAAUAGCUACACUCUUGAUCCAUCACUGUACAACAGCAGCCUCAAGAGAGAUGCCUAAACAGAUGUUCACACAGACCUUUAAAAACAUCAGUAGAGUAUGCUACACCUGACCUUCUAUGAACCAGGCUGUAACAAUCAUCCUGGUUUGACCCUUGCCUGUCCUGACUCCGUACCCACCUGCCUGACCACUCUGCCUGUUCUGACAACCAGCUUGCCUAUCCACUUGUACUGUUUCGGACUCAGAUCUGGUUUCUGACCUCUGCCUGGCCUGCCCUCGAGACUGCCUAUCGUUUGGUACUGUUUGGACUCUGACCUGGUUUAUGAACUCUCACCUGUCCCCAACCUGCCUUUGCCUGCUCCCUUUGUUAUAAUAAAUAUCGGAGCUCUACCAUCUGCCUCCUGUGUCUGCAUUUGGGUCUCUCCUUGUGCCCUUAUACAGAUAUUUGAACCUAGGUCUGGAUCCUUAUGUGAAUGUCAUUCCUACACUA
This is a long non-coding RNA of Oncorhynchus masou masou (cherry salmon), 993 nucleotides long. RefSeq lists it as uncharacterized. The transcript has 3 exons. Lineage: Eukaryota; Metazoa; Chordata; Actinopteri; Salmoniformes; Salmonidae. The record is from RefSeq and is a predicted model, not a curated record.